This 416-nucleotide ribosomal RNA is filed under the name uncultured bacterium. RNAcentral's name for it is "bacterial SSU rRNA". It matches the Rfam family "Bacterial small subunit ribosomal RNA", at positions 354 to 767 of the family's 1533-position model. The record is from RNAcentral.
GUAAGGAAUAUUGGACAAUGGUCGCAAGACUGAUCCAGCCAUGCCGCGUGCAGGAAGACGGCCCUAUGGGUUGUAAACUGCUUUUGUACCAGAGAAAACCUAUCUACGUGUAGAUAGCUGAUAGUAUGGUAAGAAUAAGCAUCGGCUAACUUCGUGCCAGCAGCCGCGGUAAGACGAAGGAUGCAAGCGUUAUCCGGAUUCAUUGGGUUUAAAGGGUGCGUAGGCGGGCUUGUAAGUCAGUGGUGAAAUCUCUCAGCUUAACUGAGAAACUGCCAUUGAUACUGCAGGCCUAGAGUAUAGAUGACGUUGGCGGAAUAUGACAUGUAGUGGUGAAAUACUUAGAUAUGUCAUAGAACACCGAUUGCGAAGGCAGCUAACGAAACUAUAACUGACGCUGAGGCACGAAAGUGCGGGGA